This 492-nucleotide ribosomal RNA is filed under the name uncultured bacterium. Its description in RNAcentral is "partial 16S ribosomal RNA". It matches the Rfam family "Bacterial small subunit ribosomal RNA", at positions 29 to 507 of the family's 1533-position model. The record is from RNAcentral.
AGUGAACGCUGGCGGUAGGCCUAACACAUGCAAGUCGAACGGCAGCACAGUAAGAGCUUGCUCUUACGGGUGGCGAGUGGCGGACGGGUGAGGAAUACAUCGGAAUCUACUUUUUCGUGGGGGAUAACGUAGGGAAACUUACGCUAAUACCGCAUACGACCUACUGGUGAAAGCAGGGGAUCUUCUGACCUUGCGCGAUUGAAUGAGCCGAUGUCGGAUUAGCUAGUUGGCGGGGUAAAGGCCCACCAAGGCGACGAUCCGUAGCUCGUCUGAGAGGAUGAUGAGCCACACUGGAACUGAGACACGGUCCAGACUCCUACGGGAGGCAGCAGUGGGGAAUAUUGGACAAAGGCCGCAAGCCUGAUCCAGCCAUACCGCGUGGGUGAAGAACGACUUCGGGUUGUAAAGCCCUUAUGUUGGGAAAGAAAAGCAGCAGGUUAAUACCCCGCUGUUCUGACGGUACCCAAAGAAUAAGCACCGGCUAACUUCGUG